ACAUGGCAUCUGGCUUCAUCAGAGUGAGCAAGAGAGAGGGCAAACAUGAUAGGAAACCUACAUCUCCGUGUAAACUAAUCUUGGAAGUGGUGUCCCCUCACUUUUGUCAUGUUUUAUUCAUAAGCAGCAAAUCACUGGGUUCUACCUCAUACAUAAGGAGAGUUCAUUCAGCAAGGACAUGCAUACCAAGAGAUGCAGAGCACUAUGAUAUAUUUUGGCUGUUGUCUCUUUCUCCAGGAUUGUGGGUGACCUCACAGCUUGCUGAUCAUGAAUCAAGAAUUAACCCUGAAGAAAAUGUAUGGGGAGAAUGUGGCCUCAAACUGAUUCAGAGAAGAGUUAAAAAGAGGAAAUGGACAGCAAACACUCUUCCAGAUUGAAGAAAAAGCAUCCAGGGACUUCCUUUUACAAACCAGAUGGCAGCCUCCAGCUGGCUGCCUUAGAGAUAUUGAAAUUGGAAGACCCAAUAUCUGAGCAGACACGCCCACUUAUAGUUCUCUCCAUCUCUACAUGGAGCCACAACCAC
Molecule: long non-coding RNA, 523 nt
Filed under: Heterocephalus glaber (naked mole-rat)
Lineage: Eukaryota; Metazoa; Chordata; Mammalia; Rodentia; Bathyergidae
Description: lncRNA (ENSHGLG00000046556.1)
Source: RNAcentral